This 2564-nucleotide long non-coding RNA is filed under the name Sparus aurata (gilthead seabream). RNAcentral's name for it is "lncRNA (ENSSAUG00010004568.1)". The record is from RNAcentral. Lineage: Eukaryota; Metazoa; Chordata; Actinopteri; Spariformes; Sparidae.
AAGUCUGACUCGGGGCGCUACAGAUGUAGACUGGACAGAAAUGUGUCUUCAAGUGCGCACAAGGACAUUGAGAUCAGAGUUGAAGAUGGUGAGUUUGACCUGAGACCCUUGGAACUGACAUUUUAUUAUAUUUUUUGAUUUGUAUUUUGAGUAGCAUAUUUUCACAAUUGUGAACACAUACAAUCGAUCUGAAUAGAAAAGUAAUCUCAACGUCAGUAUUCCCUUGUAUCUGUACAAUCAGUAUCUAAUCAUUUCAUUGUGACACAGCUCCAACAACUUUCCAACCUUUUCCAGCAUCAGCCUCCACACCGACACCAACACAGACGACUGCAGGUAAAUGUCACAUGAAAAGUCUGAAAGUGAAGCAUACCUUUUUAUUUUGAACCAGGAAGUGUAAAACAAACCUUUUUCUUCUGCUCAAACAACCACAGGUGUGCAGCUGUAUGUUCGUCUGACUCUGGUCGUCAUCUUCAUCGUAUCAUCAGCAGCUGUGCUGAUAUUCUUCAGGAAGAGCGCCAGUAAAGCUGAAUAUCUCCCUGUGGAAACUGAGGAUGUUAAUGUCACUGAGGUGAGACUGAGGCAAUAUGGGACAUUGAGCAUCAUUAGUGUUUGUGAAACCAGCCAAUUUUAAUGCAAACCAAACCCCUCUUCUCCUCCUGCAGGCCGACCCAGUGUCUGAAGAGAUCGGAGAGGACAGACAGAGCAGAUCUCCUCCUGUAGAAAUAUCUUCAGUUUAAAUAUUCCACUGCAGCCAGUUCUCACGGGAAAGUGUGUACAAAUGGGGUAGGAUCUCUCAAAUAACUUGAUGACUAAUGUUAUCUGACAGCAGAUAGAGAUUGUAUCUAAACCUAUGAGCUUCUGUGGUUUUGAGGAGGAAAUCAUGAACUUUUUAGUCUGAGAGAUGGAAGAAAAGGUGUGAUAAGAGGUGAUGCACUGAAAUAUUGCUAUGAUGAAUUUAAAUGUUGUUGUAUUGACUCGCAGAUAUUAAAAUUAAUUGGAAAUAAAUCUCUGUAACCACUUCACAUGAAGCAGUAAAAAGAGUAAAAGAAAUGGGCCGGUGGGCUUCCUGUCAUGUCGAGAGGGCCUAUUAAUUACUUGUUUUUUUACUGCUCUCUAAUGUGCAUAUGAAACGUAGUCACAUCAGGCAUUGUCAAAUUCUUCAGAUCCUAUCGUCACUGAAUAUCUUUAUCACAUUUUGAUGAGACAUUCUUGUUUUAAGGAAAAUAAAAGACAUGAAGGAAUCAAUAACGGACCAAAAUGACUGAGAGAGAGAUUAUUUUGCUGUGUACAUACAUUUUUUUAAUCGUAUUUAUAAAAAUUACAUUUAAAGUUCAAACGAAGGCUUAAAAUUGACAAAAAAAAAAAGUGGAAGACAGAGAGGAGGAGAGCUGAGUGAGUGUUUGCUUUGGAGGUCGGACUCCGUCCCUUAAAAAGGUUCCUGGUUUACCAGAGAAGGAGAAGAAGAGGGACAACCUGAAACCAUCAGAGCCUCAAACAUGAAAGUCAGUCAGGUGUUGACCUGCUUCCUCUUCAUCCUCUGUGAGUACACUUACAUUUAACAGUCACAUCUUAUAACAGUUUUGAUUUGUACAUUUUCUGUGUUUAAAACACGAUGUUCCAAGUCUAAUUUUAAGCUUUAGCCCGACAAUCUACGUUCUACGGAAGAGGAUUGAUGCCGAGGCAGAACAUUUUCAUUUGAUUUGCUUCUGAAAAUUAAGUCAGAAUUAUGUGGGGGAAAAAAGUCAGAUAUCUUAAUUUUUCAAAACAAUUCAGCUGUAUUGAUUUUUAAAACUAGAUUUGAAACUGAUUUACAUUUAUUUACAGUAAAAAUUAUCUGAUCUAUGAAAAACAGCGACAGAGAAAGGUCAAAGGAAUGAAAACAAGCAAGCAGUUGAUCUGAACACAAAGUCAGACUGAAUGACAGUCCAGUAAUCUAAAUAAAUGUUUUUCUUUGCACUGAAGCCUUAGUGUGCGUCUUCCUCCUUUCAAUAUUUAACAUUGACCAGAUUAUUUGCAUUUUCUGAAGGAAAUGUGUGUGAUUGCUGCAUCCGCUUUAAAUGGUAAUCAACACCAACCAAACCUCCCAUUACUCUCUUAGAUCUUCCUAUUGAAGGUGGGUGUUAAUUAAAAGUAUAAUCCUCUGAUGUCAGAGGGAAACAGCACCUGACCUGUGUUCUAACUGCACAGCUGCACAACAGGAUGCAGAUAGAGGGGGUCUCGAGGGGUCUUCGUAUGUCAGAUGUGCAGGCUCUGUGCGAGCAGCGCAGUUUGACAUAUUUCUCUCAAACUCUGUAUGGGCUGUGGUUUAACACCUAACUGACAUUCUGAAUUUAUUUAUCAACCCAUUUUCUCUAAGUGUCACUGUUUGCUAAGAUACAUAAACCGGAUCGAGCCUCUGAACUUAUUGACCUUUUUGAUUUUCUACUUUUGUAUUUUCUGAUCAUGAAACACAAUGCUUUUGUAAAGUAAUGGAAAGAAAUGGGUAAAAGCGAACCAGUAAUAAUAAUGACAAAUUCGGAUAAAAGAACAUUUUAGCGAUGAAAACAAAAAUGAAAGUAUUUGCA